UACGAAGGGUGCAAGCGUUACUCGGAAUUACUGGGCGUAAAGCGUGCGUAGGCGGUGAGUUAAGUCUGUCGUGAAAGCCCCGGGCUCAACUUGGGAAUGGCGAUGGAGACUGGAUCGCUAGAGUGCGGUAGAGGAGAGUGGAAUUCCCGGUGUAGCAGUGAAAUGCGUAGAGAUCGGGAGGAACAUCAGUUGCGAAAGCGGCUCUCUGGACCAGCACUGACACUGAGGCACGAAAGCGUGGGGAGCAAACAGG
Molecule: ribosomal RNA, 253 nt
Filed under: uncultured bacterium
Lineage: Bacteria
Description: partial 16S ribosomal RNA
Rfam family: Bacterial small subunit ribosomal RNA
Source: RNAcentral